Molecule: non-coding RNA, 115 nt
Organism: Triticum aestivum (bread wheat)
Lineage: Eukaryota; Viridiplantae; Streptophyta; Magnoliopsida; Poales; Poaceae
Source: Rfam
GAUCUACUCCCUUCGUUCGGAAUUACUUGUCGCAGAAAUAGAUGUAUCUAGACGUAUUUUAGGUCUAGAUACAUCCAUUUCCGAGACAAGUAAUUCCGAACGGAGGGAGUAGUAC